GGCGGAUGUAGCCAAGUGGCUCAAG
Molecule: transfer RNA, 25 nt
Filed under: Magnolia sieboldii
Lineage: Eukaryota; Viridiplantae; Streptophyta; Magnoliopsida; Magnoliales; Magnoliaceae
Also listed under: 1 other name
Description: partial tRNA-His
Source: RNAcentral